UGGGUUCAGGAGAACUCUUCCCAACCAUAAAAUUCAUGCCUUCAACUCCUAAAACUGUGUUAAAUUCAUAAUGUAUACGACGAAUUAUCUUUACUACUAUUUAUUUGGUGUUUGUUUUGGCCGUCGUCGUCGCGUUGCCGUCCUAAAAUCGUAAGGUCUCUACAGUUGGAUACGUUGCAACCAUUUCAGCAAGCAUCUCGUUGUCGUGACGUUUUAAGCUGUGAGACUAUACAAACACCGAAGCGAAAUGGCAGAAUUUACGUGUGUUCACACUGCGCCGUUACUGUUUGAUGAAUAUAUAUAUAGUUGACCUGCAUGCGAGUUCGAAAACAUACGAAAUCAUCAACGAGUUUCAACAUAGUUAAUAGAAUAGAUGGUUUGGAAAUUCAUUAGAAUAACAUCAUAAUUCAUUAUCUAUGUUAAUCAACGUUUGUUCAUAAAUAUGGUCCUUCACCGUCACAUGUGUAUUGUAUUCUUGCCAAAUCCACCAAUAGCAAUUUUCAAUUUACCCUAUUGUUCGAGAGGAUAUGUAACUUUCCUAAAGCAUUGCUAUUGAUUAGUUGGGCAAAAAUACAAUACGCACGUGAACGACCAGAUUUAUGAAUAAACGUUGACUAACAUAGAUGAGUUAUAUUGUUAUUCUAAUGAGUUUCCAGACCAUCUAUUCUAUUAACUAUAUGGUUUCAACGAGUCAAAACUCACGUAAAAUAGAUAGCUGAUCGCUAUUGGUUGUCGCUUCUCGAUUCGUCUGCUACCGUAAAAUACUGCGUUGUUAUUGGUUGUUACUUUCUAAGGAUGUAUGCUGAAU
This is a non-coding RNA of Paramuricea clavata, 808 nucleotides long. The record is from the annotation of a GenBank genome assembly. NCBI's taxonomy places the organism in Eukaryota, Metazoa, Cnidaria, Anthozoa, Malacalcyonacea, Plexauridae.